Long non-coding RNA from Lytechinus pictus (painted urchin), 3735 nucleotides. RefSeq lists it as uncharacterized. The record is from RefSeq and is a predicted model, not a curated record. The transcript is spliced from 7 exons. NCBI's taxonomy places the organism in Eukaryota, Metazoa, Echinodermata, Echinoidea, Temnopleuroida, Toxopneustidae.
CCCCCCCCCCCCCCUUCAUUAUUCCUGACUCAGCAGAUCUUCCUUCAAUCACCGGGCGCGGGCGGGCCUGCGCAUGCGCACUGAUCGCUAUCGUCCGUAUAAUUAUGCAAAUUAACCAGCCGCCAAACGCAAACCGCCAAUCUAUAUGCCCGGCCCGCGCCAAUUGCAAUUUGAAAAAGCCAUCUCCGCCGCGCCGUUAGUUUGCACAGCAUAUUUUUAUCGAGUGCGAUAAAGAAGGAUAAAGAAGGCCGUUUUAAUAAUAAUUCAACCACUGAAAUCACACGGACCAGAUUUGGAAAAUGACUUGAAAGCUAAGACAUUCGCAGUAGGCUCUACAAGAGAGGGAGACCCAAAACCACCUGGAGUCAUACUGAGCCUAGAGGAGGUGAUGAAGUCAGUGAACAUGACCUGGGGGGCCGCUGGGGUACCGGUAGUUUCCAGAAGAAGGCCCAGCUCAGAACCGCCAGGAGCUAGGAGUGGAGAUCCGAAUAUUUUGUUGCUGUCCUCCAUGAGGGAGGCUGUAAGUUAGAUACAUCGCAUCUACCAGCAAAGAACGUGUGCCAGUACAGGAAAGGAAUGUACCUGUCGCACGUGAACUCUUCAGAGGCAGUGAGGACAACAAGAUCUGCAAGCAAGUGAUCCUUUUUAUACAUCGCAUCUACCAGCAAAGAAUGUGUGCCUGUACAGGAAAGGAAUGUACCUGUCGCAUGUGAACUCUUCAGAGGCAAUGAGGACAAGAUCUGCAAGCAAGUGAUCCUUUUUUAUACAUCGCAUCUACCAGCAAAGAUCAAGUGCCACUACAGGAAAGGGAAGGUACCUGUCUCACGUUUCCUCUUCAGAGCCAGUGAGGGCCCCAAGAUCUCAAUAAAUAAUAAUUAAAAAAAGACUCCGUUAUCAUUCCUUUAAAAAUAGUAUAUAUUAUUUAUUGAAGAUGCAGUAUAUACAGUAAGCAAUGUUUCAGAGAACAAAUGAGAGAAGUCCUGGAACUGGUACACUCGCUAUUUAACAAUGCUGAUGGUCAGAUACGAUUCCAGGUUGGACCCAGGAGCCAACAUGCUUGUCAGGUGGGUCAUUGAUAAUUCCCUAAGCACCGCAGAUGUGAUCUGAUUUGGUGACAUGACAGUUGAAUUGGUAGUGACUGGAUUUUAACAGUGUGCCCCGGUUUUGAAUUGUUGAAGUAACCAAACUAGAAACAUCUUCUGAGAACUCUGACUGCGAUUCUGAUGAUGAAACUCUGUCUACACUUGGCUCUCACUUAACUUUUUCUUUAGUUUCCAGCUGGGUAACUGAUGCCAGUUUUAACUUUCUUGUGAUUUUGACUUCAACAUAAGUUUAGUUUUAGAGCAGUGUAUUAUAUAAAGAAACCAUGUUGCUUGAACUAGUCUGUGCUCUUACAGUGAUAUUAUUAUGAACUCCUUCAAAUAUGUUUUAUAUAUACAGUCAAAUAUAAAGUUCAGAAUAGUCAUUUAUCUGCUAUCCUUACCACAUGUUUAAAUUGCUUAUAAAUACACAUCGUCCGCAUAUGGAUGCAGGAGAAUUACCCUUCUUUAUUAAUUUUGUUUGGCAUGUUUUCAUUUUGCCAUCUAAAAAAAAUCCUGCAUAUGUCUACAUAUUUGUAAAACAGAAUGUUACUAGCUUUAUUGUGCUUAAAAGUAUUGUAUUAAUACUUCAUACUUUCUUAUAAUAACCAUACAAUUUAGACUGACAUGCAUUGUGAAACUCGAUUGUUACAGGAUAUAUUACUAGUAAGGGUGAAAAUCAUAUUAAGUUUUCAUGAAUUCAUUUUCAAAAGCCAGAUGUGUUAAUGAGGUAAUUUUUUUGGUCUAUCAGGGGUGUGAGAAUUCUUAAGCUGAUUUCUGCUAUUUUUAUUUUCAGCCCUAAAACUCUUCAGCAUUUUCAGCCUUUUAUCUUUCAUUCACACCUGGUUUAUGCAGUUUUACAGUUGAUGUGUCAUCAUUUUAUUCUAGAAUUUUCUUAUGAAUGAUAUUCAGGAAAGAAAUAAUACAUGAUUAUUUUUAGCAGACAUUUUACAUUAGCUUAAAGGGGAAUCCAACCCAAAUAAAAACUUGUUUUUAUAAGAAAAAGAAAAAUCAGACAAGUUGAUAGGUGAAAGUUUGAACAAUAUUGGACAAACAACAAGAAAGUUAUGAAUUUUUAAAAGUUGUAAAUAUUGGUAAUCACUAUACCCAUGGAGACCUUAAAUUGGCCGCAUAUGGGAUGUCAUAGUGAUGUAAGGCAAGGACUACUCUUCCAUGUACUCCAAUACAUAUUAUGGCUAAAAUGUCAUUUUUCCCAAAAGUUUUAUUUCAAAUUAUAUUUUUCUGUCAUGAGGACAUAAAACAAUAUACCACCUGGAUUAUAUUUAGAUUACUGCCCCAGGGGAGUGGGUACUAAGGAGAAAACCACAAAUCCCUGAUAAUAAAGUACAUGGCCUAUGGGAAAGUUGUCCUUGCCCCUUGUCAUAAUUUACUUACCCAGUUGCCAAUUUGAAAUCUACAUACUCUUAGUGAUCUCAAAUUUAAAGCAGCUAUAACUUUCUUAUUGGUUGUCCGAUUUCUUUCAAACUUUCGCCAUUCUGUUCAAUUUAUUUUUCUCCUUCCCAACACAACAUUUUAUGGCCAAGGCUGGAUUCCCCUUUAAGGUUAAAGAUACACUGCAGCACAUGUUUUUCUGUAUAUUUGUAGUAAGAAUUUAACUCAUUUCUACAUGAUCCCACUAAUUUAAAGAUGUUACUUGCUAAAAUCGUGACAAUUUAUUGUAAAGUUUUCAGAGUUGGAACUAAGGUGUAUUUUACUGUAUCUUUCUGUUUUUGGACUCGGGCAAUAAUUUGCUAUUAAAAAACAAGUGUUUGAUUGGAAAAUGUAUUGAUGAGUGUAUUUAGCCAAUAACUUGAGAAUGAUGGAAAAAAUACAAAUACAAGUCAUUCGUAUUUUUAUUACUGCAUUAUUUUUGUUGCUUUUGACGCUGUCAUUUGGGAUUUUGAUUAUAAAUUUGUUAAUAAAUGAUCCUGUUUGAUAUGAAGUUAAAUAAUUGAUUUAAAAUUAUAUUUCCUUGUUUGAGUUUCAUUAGUUGAUACAUGUAAUUGUUUAUUCAAAGGUUUACAUGUUUCCUUUGGUAAAGAUUAUCUUUUAGCACAAGUAGACUUUUUAGUACUUGACAGUGUAAAAAGAUGAAAUAACUCUCAAGGCAACUGUGUCGACUGAUUUAAUUAUGACAUUCUUAAAAAAAGUGUAGUGAGUGUAAUAAGUAAUGGUGAUUAUGUUACUUCUAUUUUGAUGGAAAAGAAAUAUACCAUUUUACUUUAAUAUGUGUAUGUCAAUACAAAUAGACAUAGAGAAUACAACUUUCCUGCACCACUAGCAUUGAUUAUAUUCCAGUAUUCUUGUGAUGGAACAUUUAUUCAUUUGACAUUGGAAUGUUUUGAAUGUAGAGUAACUUAUUGAAUUUGGUACUAGUUAGCAAUUCUGUAUUUCAAAAUGUGGCAUUCACAGACUAGGAUUGCUGAUUGUGUUAAGCAUAUAAAAUGUCUAAGUGUACCUGAUAAUUCACUUCUUAUGCAUUUCACAGUGCAAUAUUAGAUUCAUUAUAAUAAUUAUGAAUGUCGUUGUGUUUGUCCGUGGGUGAACAUGAUUUUUCUUUCUUUACUUGUGCACGAUUAAUUAUCAGAAUUCUAAUAAAUAAUAGCUAAAAUAUUGCCAAAUAAAACAGAUUAUAAUUACUUUUUUUGAUAUUAAA